This 528-nucleotide ribosomal RNA is filed under the name uncultured bacterium. RNAcentral's name for it is "bacterial SSU rRNA". It matches the Rfam family "Bacterial small subunit ribosomal RNA", at positions 173 to 716 of the family's 1533-position model. The record is from RNAcentral.
CCGUCGGAGCGUCGCAUGGCGCGCUGACGAAAGGGGUUACUGGAUCAGGAGGGGUCUCGCGGCCUAUCAGCUAGAUGGUGGGGUAACGGCCUACCAUGGCAUCGACGGGUAGCUGGUCUGAGAGGAUGAUCAGCCACACUGGGACUGAGACACGGCCCAGACUCCUACGGGAGGCAGCAGUGGGGAAUCUUGCGCAAAUGGGCGAAAAGCCUGACGCAGCAACGCCGCGUGCGGGAAGAAGGCCUUCGGGUUGUAAACCGCUUUCAGAAGGAACGAAAAUGACGGUACUUUCAGAAGAAGGUGCGGCCAACUACGUGCCAGCAGCCGCGGUGACACGUAGGCACCAAGCGUUGUCCGGAUUUAUUGGGCGUAAAGAGCUCGUAGGCGGUUCGGUAAGUCGGGUGUGAAAAUCUUUGGGCUUAACCCAAAGCGUGCACUCGAUACUGCCAUGACUAGAGUUCGGUAGGGGAGCGGGGAAUUCCUAGUGUAGCGGUGAAAUGCGCAGAUAUUAGGAGGAACACCGGUGGC